This 1684-nucleotide ribosomal RNA is filed under the name human oral metagenome. RNAcentral describes it as "bacterial LSU rRNA". It matches the Rfam family "Bacterial large subunit ribosomal RNA", at positions 525 to 1980 of the family's 2925-position model. The record is from RNAcentral.
CCCGGGGGGGGAGGGAAAGAGUACCUGAAACCGGGCGCCUGCGAGCCGUCAGAGCCUCGCCUCCUCUUUUUUGGGGUGUUGGUGGGGUGGUGGCGUGCCUAUUGAAGAAUGAGCCUGCGAGUCGUGCUGUGUGGCGAGGUUAACCUGUGUGUGGGGUAGCCGUAGCGAGAGCGAGUCCUAAGUGGGCGUGUGAGUCGUGUGGUGCGGACCCGAAGCGGGGUGAUCUACCCAUGGCCAGGUUGAGGCGCGUGUAAGAGCGUGUGGAGGACCGUACCCGCCUGGGUUGAAAACCGGGGGGAUGAGCUGUGGGUAGGGGUGAAAGGCCAAUCAGACUCCGUGAUAGCUGGUUCUCCCCGAAAUGCAUUUUGGUGCAGCGUUGCGUGUGUCGCCCGGCGGAGGUAGAGCGACUGGUUGGCUGCGGGGCCUGACAGGGUUACUUAGGUCAGCCAAACUCCGAAUGCCGUGCGGGUGUGGCGUGGCAGUGAGACCGCGGGGGAUAAGCUUCGUGGUCGAGAGGGAAACAGCCCGGAUCGCCGGCUAAGGCCCCUAAGCGUGCGCUAAGUGGGAAAGGAUGUGCGGUCGCGUAGACAGCCAGGAGGUUGGCUCAGAAGCAGCCAUCCUUGAAAGAGUGCGUAAUAGCUCACUGGUCAAGUGGUCGUGCGCCGACAAUUGAGCGGGGCUCAAGCGCGCCGCCGAAGCCGCGGAUCCGCCGCGAUAGGGCCCGGCCGCCCCCUGUGGGGGGGUGGUGGGGCGCGGCGGGUGGUAGGGGAGCGUCCCGCGCCGGGUGAAGCCGCCGGGUGACCGGGGGUGGACGGCGCGGGAGUGAGAAUGCAGGCAUGAGUAGCGAUACUGGGGUGGGAGUCCCCAGCGCCGUAUGACCAAGGGUUCCAGGGCCAGGCUGGUCCGCCCUGGGUGAGUCGGGACCUAAGGCGAGGCCGACGGGCGUAGUCGAUGGAUGACGGGUUGAUAUUCCCGUACCGGACCGGAUACCGACCGUGCCGACGCGCGGGUGCUGACCCACGCCCCGCGCCGCCCGUGUACGCCCCCGCGUCCCGGUCUUCGGGCCGGGCGGGGGCGGGGCGGCGGGGGUCUGGGGACCCUCCGCGCAGGUAGGCAAGCGUAUUAACAGGGGUGACGCGCAGUGGUGGCCCCGCGGGCCUGAUGGCUCGGCCCGUUCAAGCGCGCGGCCCGCCGCCCAGGCAAAUCCGGGCGGCUGCCUUCGAUGGCGGGGGUGAGGCGCGAUGGUGACCCGGCCCGAUGGGGCCGGGGAAGUAGGGUGAUCCUGUGGCGCCGAGAAAAGCCUCGACGCGAGGGGCCGGUCCGCCCGUACCCCAAACCGACACAGGUGGUCGGGCAGAGCAUGCCCAGGCGCACGGGCGAACCGUGGUGAAGGAACUCGGCAAAACGCCCCCGUAACUUCGGGAGAAGGGGGGCCCGAACCCUGAGGCCCCGAGCGGGCUGGGGGUGAGGGUCGCAGAGGCCAGGGGGGAGCGACUGUUUACUAAAAACACAGGUCCGUGCGAAGCCGCAAGGCGAUGUAUACGGACUGACGCCUGCCCGGUGCUGGAAGGUCAAGAGGACCCGUCAGCCCCCCUUGCGGGGGUGAAGCGGUGAAUUCAAGCCCCAGUGAACGGCGGUGGUAACUAUAACCAUCCUAAGGUAGCGAAAUUCCUUGUCGGGUAAG